GUUCUGGAUAUGGGUAGCCCGGGAAGUGAUAUGACUGGAUUGUCCAGGAAUCAUUCUCCUGAAUAUGACGUUCAGUUGUACAUUUCAGCUUUUGAACAAACCAAAAAUAGGUAUCCUUGGUUGGUUUCUCUGUUGAACCAGUGCAAUGUCCCGAUUUUUGAUGCUGCUUUCUUUGGCUGUGCUGCCUCAUGUAAUUGUGUCCCUUCACCCGGUCAGUCACUUGGGCAAGUUAUUGCUUCUAAGCUUGUUGCAGCUAAGCAUGCUGGCUAU
RNAcentral lists this unclassified non-coding RNA (270 nucleotides) under Hevea brasiliensis (rubber tree). The record is from RNAcentral. Lineage: Eukaryota; Viridiplantae; Streptophyta; Magnoliopsida; Malpighiales; Euphorbiaceae.